This 404-nucleotide ribosomal RNA is filed under the name Actinomycetes bacterium. Its description in RNAcentral is "Actinobacteria bacterium partial 16S ribosomal RNA". It matches the Rfam family "Bacterial small subunit ribosomal RNA", at positions 355 to 776 of the family's 1533-position model. The record is from RNAcentral. Lineage: Bacteria; Bacillati; Actinomycetota; Actinomycetes.
UGGGGAAUAUUGGACAAUGGGCGCAAGCCUGAUCCAGCCAUGCCGCGUGAGUGAUGAAGGCCCUAGGGUUGUAAAGCUCUUUCACCGGUGAAGAUAAUGACGGUAACCGGAGAAGAAGCCCCGGCUAACUUCGUGCCAGCAGCCGCGGUAAUACGAAGGGGGCUAGCGUUGUUCGGAUUUACUGGGCGUAAAGCGCACGUAGGCGGACUAUUAAGUCAGGGGUGAAAUCCCGGGGCUCAACCCCGGAACUGCCUUUGAUACUGGUAGUGUUGAGUUCGAGAGGGGUGAGUGGAAUUCCGAGUGUAGAGGUGAAAUUCGUAGAUAUUCGGAGGAACACCAGUGGCGAAGGCGGCUCACUGGCUCGAUACUGACGCUGAGGUGCGAAAGCGGGGGGAGCAAACAGG